GGGCCUUUAGCUUAACAGGUAGAGUACUUAAUUGUCAAUUAGGUUGGUCCCAGUUCGAAUCUGGAAGGGCUCG
This 73-nucleotide transfer RNA is filed under the name Amanita sinensis. Its description in RNAcentral is "tRNA-Asp". It matches the Rfam family "tRNA". Rfam says of the family: Transfer RNA (tRNA) molecules are approximately 80 nucleotides in length. Lineage: Eukaryota; Fungi; Basidiomycota; Agaricomycetes; Agaricales; Amanitaceae. The record is from RNAcentral.